Molecule: ribosomal RNA, 253 nt
Filed under: uncultured bacterium
Lineage: Bacteria
Description: partial 16S ribosomal RNA
Rfam family: Bacterial small subunit ribosomal RNA
Source: RNAcentral
UACGAAGGGAGCUAGCGUUGUUCGGAAUCACUGGGCGUAAAGCGCACGUAGGCGGGCUUGUCAGUCAGGGGUGAAAUCCUGGGGCUCAACCUCGGAACUGCUUCUGAUACAGCAAGUCUUGAGUCCGGAAGAGGUGGGUGGAAUUCCUAGUGUAGAGGUGAAAGUCGUAGAUAUUAGGAAGAACACCGGUGGCGAAGGCGGCCCACUGGUCCGGUACUGACGCUGAGGUGCGAAAGCGUGGGGAGCAAACAGG